GAUGAAGAACGUAGCGAAAUGCGAUACGUAGUGUGAAUUGCAGAAUUCAGUGAAUCAUCGAAUCUUUGAACGCACAUUGCACCUCUCGGUAUUCCGGGAGGUAUGCCUGUUCGCGCGUCAUUUGUACCCUCAAGCUCUGCUUGGUGUUGGGUGUUUGUUCCGCCUCUGUGUGUGAACUCGCCUCAAAACAAUUGGCAGCCGGCGUACUUGUUUCGGAGCGCAGCACAUUUUGCGAUCCAGAUCAACGUACAGCGGCAUCCAAGAAGCCUUAUUUAACGCUCUUGACCUCGGAUCAGGUAGGGAUACCCGCUGAACUUAAGCAUAUCAAUAAGCGGAGGA
Molecule: unclassified non-coding RNA, 339 nt
Filed under: soil metagenome
Description: partial contains 5.8S ribosomal RNA, internal transcribed spacer 2, and large subunit ribosomal RNA
Rfam family: 5.8S ribosomal RNA (bases 1-120)
Source: RNAcentral